CAUGCAAGUCGAACGAGGUCUUCGGACCUAGUGGCGCACGGGUGAGUAACAUGUGGGAAUCUACCUGAAGGUUCGGAAUAACUGCGGGAAACUGUAGCUAAUACCGGAUGUGUCUGCAAAGAGAAAGAUUUAUCGCCUUCAGAUGAGCCCGCACUAGACUAGCUAGUUGGUGAGGUAAUUGCUCCACCAAGGCUACGAUCUAUAGCUGAUUUGAGAGGAUGAUCAGCCACACUGGGACUGAGACACGGCCCAGACUCCUACGGGAGGCAGCAGUAGGGAAUAUUGGACAAUGGGGGAAACCCUGAUCCAGCAAUGCCGCGUGAGUGAAGAAGGCCUUCGGGUUGUAAAGCUCUUUCAUCAAUGAUGAUAAUGACAUUAGUUGAAGAAGAAGCCCCGGCUAACUUCGUGCCAGCAGCCGCGGUAAUACGAAGGGGGCUAGCGUUGUUCGGAAUCACUGGCGUAAAGCGUAUGUAGGCGGAUCAAAAAGUUAGAUGUGAAAUCCCUGGGCUCAACCCAGGAACUGCAUUUAAAACUAGUGAUCUAGAAUUUGGUAGGGGCCAGUAGAAUUUCCAGUGUAGAGGUGAAAUUCGUAGAUAUUGGAAAGAAUACCAGUGGCGAAGGCGACUGGCUGGGCCAUUUUUGACGCUGAGAUACGAAAGCGUGGGUAGCAAACAGGAUUAGAUACCCUGGUAGUCCACGCAGUAAACGAUGAGUGCUAGUCGCUGGGACAAUAGUUUCAGUGUCGAAGCUAACGCAUUAAGCACUCCGCCUGGGAAGUACGGUCGCAAGAUUAAAACUCAAAUAAAUUGACGGGGGCCCGCACAAGCGGUGGAGCAUGUGGUUUAAUUCGAAAGCACGCGAAGAACCUUACCAGACCUUGACAUGGUAUGUCUGAAUUACAGAAUCGUAAUUCUUCAGUUCGGCUGGCAUA
This 931-nucleotide ribosomal RNA is filed under the name uncultured marine bacterium. RNAcentral describes it as "bacterial SSU rRNA". It matches the Rfam family "Bacterial small subunit ribosomal RNA", at positions 54 to 1030 of the family's 1533-position model. The record is from RNAcentral.